ACGGUGAAGAGGGAAGCAUUGGUCUUGGGAGUGUCAAUAAGAAUGGCGGCGUGAGUUUUCUAAUUAUAUAAUUAAAAUAAGUUAUUUCCAGUUGCAUAGUUCCAUUAUUGUUGUUGCAAGUCAUAGAAAGUUGAGUGAAUUAAAGUGACGGAAUAAUGAAACUGUAAGAAAAAGGAUCUCACACCGCCAUUCGGGAGAAAUCUAUUAUUACCGCUGGUAAACCCUCCCUAACACGGAGAGCAGACACUUCCAAGAUUCAGUCAACCAGGGAACAAGUCUAAGGAUACAGUCCCAUUUGUUUUGUUUUGGUUCAUCAUCCUGCACCCUCCGAGGGACAGGUUCAUUAGCUAUUGGGCAGUUGCACCACUUCGGUGUUAACUUCGUACCACGGAUUUGGUACCACACACCAAGGAUCAGUGUUGGAACGCGUGAAAAGGGGUUUGUUUUGGGGGACAAUUAUUCAUACUAGUUAAAGACUUAUACUGUUUUUUUUUGUAAUAUUCAGGACAUUUAAGUUAGAUACACAUAAGUUCAUAAUUU
Molecule: long non-coding RNA, 540 nt
Filed under: Diabrotica virgifera virgifera (western corn rootworm)
Lineage: Eukaryota; Metazoa; Arthropoda; Insecta; Coleoptera; Chrysomelidae
Description: uncharacterized LOC126892817
Source: RNAcentral